AGCAAGGAUGGUUCCCAGGGAAAGAGGCCUUGGUUAUGAUGUGGCUUUCCAACAGUAUUUUAAUACUUUUCUCAACCUGAAGAAGUUCAAGCCUAGCUUUGCUCCCUUUGUGGAUAGACCACUUGGUCCUCCUUGGUUUACUCACAGAUUUCCUUCUCCACCAGAAUUUGAGAUGGUAACCACCAGCAUUUGGAAUGCUUAUUUGAUGCCUACAGUCUUGUCUUGUCGAAUUGG
This 234-nucleotide long non-coding RNA is filed under the name Trifolium pratense (red clover). RNAcentral describes it as "long non-coding RNA (TPRA_LNC006325)". The record is from RNAcentral. Lineage: Eukaryota; Viridiplantae; Streptophyta; Magnoliopsida; Fabales; Fabaceae.